This 433-nucleotide ribosomal RNA is filed under the name uncultured bacterium. RNAcentral describes it as "bacterial SSU rRNA". It matches the Rfam family "Bacterial small subunit ribosomal RNA", at positions 29 to 507 of the family's 1533-position model. The record is from RNAcentral.
AACGAACGCUGGCGGCAGGCCUAACACAUGCAAGUCGAGCGCCCCGCAAGGGGAGCGGCGGACGGGUGAGUAACGCGUGGGAACGUGCCCUCUUCUACGGAAUAGCCUCGGGAAACUGGGAGUAAUACCGUAUACGCCCUUAGGGGGAAAGAUUUAUCGGAGGAGGAUCGGCCCGCGUUGGAUUAGGUAGUUGGUGGGGUAAUGGCCUACCAAGCCGACGAUCCAUAGCUGGUUUGAGAGGAUGAUCAGCCACACUGGGACUGAGACACGGCCCAGACCCCUACGGGAGGCAGCAGUGGGGAAUCUUAGACAAUGGGCGCAAGCCUGAUCUAGCCAUGCCGCGUGAGCGAUGAAGGCCUUAGGGUUGUAAAGCUCUUUCAGGGGGGAAGGAUAAUGACUGUACCCCCACGAAGAAGCCCCGGCUAACUCCGUG